GGCGCCGCUCCUGUUAAGACAGUCGCUACCGACCGGAGCUGACUAGGGUCAAUUUAAGUCAUGCAGGUUGUAAGAAAUGCGGGGUUUCGAUUCCUAUGGUCUCGGACCUGGCCCCGAACAACCAGGGUCGUGGUCGGGGCGCCGGUUGGGACCAUCCACACCCACACGCCGGAGCUGUAAGACGCGGCGGCCGAGCCGCAGCAGCUUCAGCAUUUACCCUCCCAUUCCGGGAGAGGAGAGCCCUCUGAGGUGGGCAGGAAAGAAGUUUGAGGAGAUCCCGAUUGCACACAUCAAAGCCUCCUACAACAACACACAGAUCCAGGUGGUCUCUGCCGCCAACCAGCCCCUUGCCCGGACUUCCUGUGGCACGGAGGGAUUUCGGAACGCCAAGAAGGGCACGGGCAUCGCAGCACAGACUGCAGGCCUAGCCGCAGCGGCGAAAGCUGCAGUGAAAGGUGUGACUCACAUCCGCGUUGUGGUGAAAGGCCUGGGGCCAUCAAGGGACUGACCAUGGGGGGACUGGAAGUGAUCUCAAUCACAGACAAUACCCCCAUCCCGCACAAUGGCUGCCGCCCCAGGAGGGCACGGAGGCUAUGAUGAGAAUGAAGCCUGCAUUCGAACAUGACCCCAAGUCUCAACCUCCAGUUGGACCUCCUAAGAAGCUCACUGCACUGCCAUCCACAGAACAGUGCUUGUGGAAGUCCUUCUGGCAGGAAGGGCUAGUGUUGCCACCUUACACAGUGGCCUCUGC
Nycticebus coucang (slow loris) is the source of this 751-nucleotide RNA transcript. It is a transcript of the gene named 28S ribosomal protein S11, mitochondrial-like, with no coding region annotated. The record is from RefSeq and is a predicted model, not a curated record. The transcript has a single exon. NCBI's taxonomy places the organism in Eukaryota, Metazoa, Chordata, Mammalia, Primates, Lorisidae.